Molecule: ribosomal RNA, 253 nt
Filed under: uncultured bacterium
Lineage: Bacteria
Description: partial 16S ribosomal RNA
Rfam family: Bacterial small subunit ribosomal RNA
Source: RNAcentral
UACGGGGGGAGCAAGCGUUGUUCGGAUUUACUGGGCGUAAAGGGCGCGUAGGCGGCGCCGCAAGUCAAUUGUGAAAUCUCCGGGCUUAACUCGGAAAGGUCAACUGAUACUGCGGGGCUAGAGUGCGGAAGGGGCAACUGGAAUUCUCGGUGUAGCGGUGAAAUGCGUAGAUAUCGAGAGGAACACCUGCGGCGAAGGCGGGUUGCUGGGCCGACACUGACGCUGAGGCGCGAAAGCUAGGGGAGCGAACGGG